This is a long non-coding RNA of Labrus mixtus (cuckoo wrasse), 3399 nucleotides long. RefSeq lists it as uncharacterized. The transcript has 2 exons. Lineage: Eukaryota; Metazoa; Chordata; Actinopteri; Labriformes; Labridae. The record is from RefSeq and is a predicted model, not a curated record.
UCUUCUCUUGCUCUCUACACAGACAUUGGAUGAAAGCCUGGUUUAAGAAAGGAAACUGUCCUCCACUCUGGAAAACGAGAGCCAAUCAAACUCGAGACAUCGUAUCAAUUCCCGGGACAAGUAAUGAAAAUGAAGCGGGACACCCAGUCGCACUACAGGUACAGGUUAGCAAGCAGGAUCUACAGAAGAUCCCAUGCUGCAAGAAUAAUCAAAAGGAAGGGCUUUUGACACCAUGAGGCAUAAAACAUGUGACCUAUUUAAAGUUAAAGAUUUCAUUUAAAUCCUAAAAACAGACAAAGAGCUUUUGUUGUUUGGAGCAUUAUGACCUGCACACUCACUUCCUGUGAUAUGUAAGUGUUUGAGUCAAAUACCCUCUGUGUUGGAGUGUGUUUCAUACCUAUCGCUUUGUAUUGUGUCAGUGAGCAAACCAUUGCAUCAGAUCCUGUUUUUUUUUUUUUCUUCAAGCGGCUGCUUUUAGCUGCGCAGCGUGAGGUGGAGAUCCAUUCUGGAUGUUUUCUGCAGCUGACUCAUAAAGUGGUGAAUUUCAUCAAUCUCUCUUGAGACUUUCCGGGGUUACUAACAGCUCAAAGGAAGUGGAGGAAGUUACUUCUUUUGGUAGACUGUCAACAUGGCAGACAGGGGAAAGGGCUAUCUUAAUAAAAAUAGCAUAAGCUGCCAAAUCAUAUAAAAUGUCCCUAAAAGUUAAAGUGCAGGCUUCAUUCAUCCACUGCUAUUUUGUGCUAGUUUCACCUCUUAUCAUGUUUCAUCCUUUAACUUCUACUCACCAAUCUAACAUUUUCUUCUUUAAUCUCGUCGUUUCCGUCUUUAUCCAAUUAAAUCCACUCACAUUUCCCUCUUCUGUGUCAUGAGCACCACUAUGAGGAGUCAUGAAGUGGUGACGCUGCAGGUCAAAUGGGCUGGGAAAUCGGUUAAGAGCGCCAUGUUUACAAAAUAUCUAUACAUCAAAACUUUUGCACAAGCGAUGCGUUUACUGUAUCACACAAGUCAGGAUGAUGAUAUUUAGCCCCACCCCCUUCUGUACCACGGCUUGAUUAACAUCAACAUGUGGGGUGCCAGAAUACAUAGUGGUAUAAUUGUGUGUCCUAAUUAUAGAGGAUGUAGAAAAUGGUAAAUGGUGUUGAGCUUGUAUAGUGAUUUUCUAGUCUUCUGACUACUCAAAGUGCUUUUCUACACAUUCUACAUCUACACAUUCACACACUGAUGGUAGAGGCUGCUGUGUAAAAUGUCCAUCAGAAGAAACUAAUCCUAUUCAUACACAUUCACAUGCUUCAGACAAAGCAGCAGGAGCAACUUGAGGUUCAGUGUCUUGCCCACAACGGACAUGUGCAGGAGCUAGGGAUCAAACCCCUGACCUUCCAGUUGAUAGAUGACCAACUCUACCACUGAGCCACAGCCACCAGUCCUCUAAGCUGGCGGCCCCGGCUUCAGUGCGGACCCUCUGCACUCUGCUGCAUGUCAUUCCAUCACUCUCUCUCUCAUACUUGUUUCCUCCUCUAUCCACUGUCCUCUCUUCAAAAGAGGCAGACAAGACUGUAAAAAUCUUCAACAUUAACAUGUGAAGUACGAGAAGUUAAAGCAACACGCUGACCAGUCAGUGGCUGCACACAUACAUAGAACUGUUUUCCUCACUACUGGACCUUCAUUUGGAGGAUAUGUCCCUUCUCUCUCUCUCUUUGCUCAUUUCACAGCAAACCCUUGUUUCCUCAAUUUAAGCCCAAAACGCAGAAAAAAGAAAGAUGUGAUUUAUUUCAGGUUGAUGAAAUAGAGUUUUGAAUGACUUGUCAGGAACAUUUAUUCUCGUCUAACUCAUCUUCACAACUAAAAAAAGGUGUGUAAAUUAACUCGGAGUGAUUUUUCUUUCCAACAUGUCCAUGUGAAAGCGAGACCAUUACCAUUAACUUCUGAAAUAUCCUCAUGUGUCCUUAAAAUGCCACGAGUACAAUCCUGGCUGUGUGAGGUCACUGCAGGACAAAGACAACAUUCAUUAUCCAAUAAAAGGGAUACAGAAAGAGGAGCGGCUUGUGCUUGUUUACAGGGUGAGAGAGUGUGUGCUGCAUGCAAAUGGGGAAUCCCUUGGAAGUGCACUGCCCUCUUCUUUAGACGAGUGUGUGCACCCCCCUCCUCCUCUCCUCUCCUUCCUCAUCUUCAGACGUAAUUAAACCAAAGAAGAAGAACGACAGCUUCCACUCUUAGUGCCGUCUGCGGGGAUAAUUAGAAGCACAAAUAAACAGGGAAGACUGAUACAGCUCAGUUAGAAAAAACAAAAGGGGGGGAGUGAUGGAGGCGGACGGGGAGGGGGUACAGGGGAGGUUGCAGGCUGCUACAGUAUUUAAUAUUCAGAAAUCCUCUGAAAUGGAUUUGGUGAAGCCCCCCCCCCCCCCCCCCCCCCCCCAGGCUCUGUUACAGUGCAGUCAGUCAAACUGCUGGAGCUCAGUCUCCUUAUUUACUCAAGAUGCUGUUGCAUCGUUUGGCCUGUAGGUGGCAAUUUGGUAGCGUGGUGCCACUUUGUACUGAAUGGGUCUACUUUGUUGUGUGUGUGUGUGUGUGUGUGUGUGAUGGUGGGGAGCUUCUGUGUUCAACUCUUAAAUUCCUGCAAAAUCUCAGAAACCAAACAGCACUCUGCAGGAGGAGGUUGACACAUCCAGACUAACAAGAAAUAAUAAAAGACGAAUGGUUUUUCAUCAACAAAUUAAUUGCUCCCUCAAUUUUCAUGCGGAACUGAAAGUUAAUUUACCUUGGUGUGUGUGUGUGUGUGAGAGAGAGGUGUGUGUGUGUCUUCUUUUCAAAGCUGCCAUGUGGGGAUGAUUAGUGGUGGUGGGAUUAUUUAGAAUCCUAAUUGAAAGGCCUGUGUAAAAAAAAACAAAAAACAACAACAAAUAAAAAAACUAAGUGCUCUAUAUUUCCAAUCACACACUUACCCGCUGUGAAAGAGGAAUUCAGGUCUCAGGCAGAGACAGGUCGGCUUUGAUGAAAAAGAAAUAUGGAUGGGAGUUACUGUAUACGGGAGCGCGGCGUCUGAAUGGCAACGCUGGCGCAGCUGCAGGAACAAAGACGCAAUAAUGAAAUCUGACUGUAGUCAAACAGAUUUGAUCAUCAUCGCUCUCGCCGGUUUCCCACCAUGGAGGCUCCUCCUCCUCCUCGAGUGUGCAUGUGUGGUGGAGAUGAACUGAGAGAAUUAUGUAUACGCUUUACCUAGAAAACAAGCCCUCAGUGCAGAACUUUAAGCUGCCUAAGAUAUAUUAAUCAAGAUGCACAUGCUGCUGGAAUUAGCUUCCCUCCACAGACUGCUGAUAAGUGAGAGUAGAUGGAAAUGUAUUAGUAAUGGUGCAAACACAGUUUUCUCCUUCUCUUUAUCGUUACACUUAGCCUUCAUCAAAA